This 111-nucleotide ribosomal RNA is filed under the name Ursus maritimus (polar bear). The record is from RNAcentral. Lineage: Eukaryota; Metazoa; Chordata; Mammalia; Carnivora; Ursidae.
GUCUACGGCCAUACCACCCUGAACGCGUCCGAUCUCGUCUGAUCUCGGAAGUUAGAUAUAUAUGUGUGUGUGUGGGGGGGGGAUAUACAUAUAUACACACACGCAUAUAUA